UCUAGUCGCUGGGAAUAGACCCGAAACCGGGCGAUCUAUCCAUGGGCAGGUUGAAGGUUGGGUAACACUAACUGGAGGACCGAACCGACUACCGUUGAAAAGUUAGCGGAUGACCUGUGGAUCGGAGUGAAAGGCUAAUCAAGCUCGGAGAUAGCUGGUUCUCCUCGAAAGCUAUUUAGGUAGCGCCUCAUGUAUCACUGUAGGGGGUAGAGCACUGUUUCGGCUAGGGGGUCAUCCCGACUUACCAAACCGAUGCAAACUCCGAAUACCUACAAGUGCCGAGCAUGGGAGACACACGGCGGGUGCUAACGUCCGUCGUGAAAAGGGAAACAACCCAGACCGUCAGCUAAGGUCCCAAAGUUAUGGUUAAGUGGGAAACGAUGUGGGAAGGCUUAGACAGCUAGGAGGUUGGCUUAGAAGCAGCCACCCUUUAAAGAAAGCGUAAUAGCUCACUAGUCGAGUCGGCCUGCGCGGAAGAUGUAACGGGGCUCAAACCAUACACCGAAGCUACGGGUAUCACCUUCGGGUGAUGCGGUAGAGGAGCGUUCUGUAAGCCUGUGAAGGUGAGUUGAGAAGCUUGCUGGAGGUAUCAGAAGUGCGAAUGCUGACAUGAGUAACGACAAUGGGUGUGAAAAACACCCACGCCGAAAGACCAAGGUUUCCUGCGCAACGUUAAUCGACGCAGGGUUAGUCGGUCCCUAAGGCGAGGCUGAAAAGCGUAGUCGAUGGAAAACAGGUUAAUAUUCCUGUACUUCUGGUUAUUGCGAUGGAGGGACGGAGAAGGCUAGGCCAGCUUGGCGUUGGUUGUCCAAGUUUAAGGUGGUAGGCUGGAAUCUUAGGUAAAUCCGGGAUUCUAAGGCCGAGAGCUGAUGACGAGUUACCCUUUGGGUGACGAAGUGGUUGAUGCCAUGCUUCCAAGAAAAGCUUCUAAGCUUCAGGUAACCAGGAACCGUACCCCAAACCGACACAGGUGGUUGGGUAGAGAAUACCAAGGCGCUUGAGAGAACUCGGGUGAAGGAACUAGGCAAAAUGGCACCGUAACUUCGGGAGAAGGUGCGCCGGUGAGGGUGAAGGACUUGCUCCGUAAGCUCAUGCCGGUCGAAGAUACCAGGCCGCUGCGACUGUUUAUUAAAAACACAGCACUCUGCAAACACGAAAGUGGACGUAUAGGGUGUGACGCCUGCCCGGUGCCGGAAGGUUAAUUGAUGGGGUUAGCUAACGCGAAGCUCUUGAUCGAAGCCCCGGUAAACGGCGGCCGUAACUAUAACGGUCCUAAGGUAGCGAAAUUCCUUGUCGGGUAAGUUCCGACCUGCACGAAUGGCGUAACGAUGGCGGCGCUGUCUCCACCCGAGACUCAGUGAAAUUGAAAUCGCUGUGAAGAUGCAGUGUAUCCGCGGCUAGACGGAAAGACCCCGUGAACCUUUACUAUAGCUUUGCACUGGACUUUGAAUUUGCUUGUGUAGGAUAGGUGGGAGGCUUUGAAGCGUGGACGCCAGUCUGCGUGGAGCCAACCUUGAAAUACCACCCUGGCAACUUUGAGGUUCUAACUCAGGUCCGUUAUCCGGAUCGAGGACAGUGUAUGGUGGGUAGUUUGACUGGGGCGGUCUCCUCCUAAAGAGUAACGGAGGAGUACGAAGGUGCGCUCAGACCGGUCGGAAAUCGGUCGUAGAGUAUAAAGGCAAAAGCGCGCUUGACUGCGAGACAGACACGUCGAGCAGGUACGAAAGUAGGUCUUAGUGAUCCGGUGGUUCUGUAUGGAAGGGCCAUCGCUCAACGGAUAAAAGGUACUCCGGGGAUAACAGGCUGAUACCGCCCAAGAGUUCAUAUCGACGGCGGUGUUUGGCACCUCGAUGUCGGCUCAUCACAUCCUGGGGCUGAAGCCGGUCCCAAGGGUAUGGCUGUUCGCCAUUUAAAGUGGUACGCGAGCUGGGUUUAGAACGUCGUGAGACAGUUCGGUCCCUAUCUGCCGUGGACGUUUGAGAUUUGAGAGGGGCUGCUCCUAGUACGAGAGGACCGGAGUGGACGAACCUCUGGUGUUCCGGUUGUCACGCCAGUGGCAUUGCCGGGUAGCUAUGUUCGGAAUAGAUAACCGCUGAAAGCAUCUAAGCGGGAAACUAGCCUCAAGAUGAGAUCUCACUGGAACCUUGAGUUCCCUGAAGGGCCGUCGAAGACUACGACGUUGAUAGGUUGGGUGUGUAAGCGCUGUGAGGCGUUGAGCUAACCAAUACUAAUUGCCCGUGAGGCUUGACCAUAUAACACCCAAGCAAUUUGCGUCGAAAGGCCAGAUUGCGGUGUGUGAAGACGAAACGAACCGAAAGUUCGAUUCUUGCAAACACCGACUUCUAUUACAUACCCAAUUUGCUGAAGCGAGGCCA
This 2375-nucleotide ribosomal RNA is filed under the name Pseudomonas brenneri. RNAcentral's name for it is "partial 23S ribosomal RNA". It matches the Rfam family "Bacterial large subunit ribosomal RNA", at positions 695 to 2925 of the family's 2925-position model. The record is from RNAcentral. Lineage: Bacteria; Pseudomonadati; Pseudomonadota; Gammaproteobacteria; Pseudomonadales; Pseudomonadaceae.